Molecule: ribosomal RNA, 434 nt
Filed under: uncultured Sphingobium sp.
Lineage: Bacteria; Pseudomonadati; Pseudomonadota; Alphaproteobacteria; Sphingomonadales; Sphingobiaceae
Description: bacterial SSU rRNA
Rfam family: Bacterial small subunit ribosomal RNA
Source: RNAcentral
GAACGGUGCGUAACGCGUGGGAAUCUGCCGAAUAGUUCACUCCAAAUCCUGAAUAAUUCAUAAAGCAAGCUAAUUCGCGCUGUUCGAUGAGCCCACGUAGUAUCAGGUAGUUGGUUAGGUAAAGGCUGACCAAGCCAAUGAUGCUUAGCUGGUCUUUUCGGAUGAUAGCCACACUGGGACUGAGACACGGCCCAGACUCCCUCGGGGGGCAGCAGUGGGGAAUAUUGGACAAUGGGCUCACGCCCGAUCCAGCAAUAUCGCGUGGGUGAAGAAGGGCACUGUCGCUUGUCAAGCUCUUUCGUCGAGUUUCGAUCAUGACAGGACUCGAGGAAGAAGCCCCGGCUAACUCCGUGCCAGCAGCCGCGGCAAUACGGGGGGGGCAAGUGUUAUUCGGAAUGACUGGCCGUAAAGGGCACGUACGCGGUGAAAAGGGU